RNAcentral lists this ribosomal RNA (721 nucleotides) under Amanita sp. Its description in RNAcentral is "LSU rRNA". It matches the Rfam family "Eukaryotic large subunit ribosomal RNA", at positions 76 to 776 of the family's 3401-position model. Lineage: Eukaryota; Fungi; Basidiomycota; Agaricomycetes; Agaricales; Amanitaceae. The record is from RNAcentral.
UCCCCUAGUAACUGCGAGUGAAGCGGGAAAAGCUCAAAUUUAAAAUCUGGCAGAUGUUUGUCUGUCCGAGNUGUAACCUAGAGAAGUGUAACCUGUGCUGGACCGUGUACAAGUCUCCUGGAAUGGAGCAUCAUAGAGGGUGAGAAUCCCGUCUUUGACAUGGACUACCAGUGCACUGUGGUUGCACACUCAACGAGUCGAGUUGUUUGGGAAUGCAGCUCUAAAUGGGUGGUAAAUUCCAUCUAAAGCUAAAUAUUGGCGAGAGACCGAUAGCGAACAAGUACCGUGAGGGAAAGAUGAAAAGAACUUUGGAAAGAGAGUUAAACAGUAUGUGAAAUUGUUGAAAGGGAAACGCUUGAAGUCAGCUGCAUUAGCUGGGGAUCAAGCCAGCUUUUUUGCUGGGUGUACUUCCUGGUUGAUGGGCCAACAUCAGUUUUGACCAUCAGAGAAAGGCUAAGGGAAUGUGGCACCUUUAUAGGUGUGUUAUAGCCCUUGGUUGUAUGUGAUGGUUGGGACUGAGGACAGCAGUGUGCCGCAAGGCCGGGCUUCGACCACGUUCACGCUUUGGAUGUUGGCAUAAUGGCUUUAAGNGACCCGUCUUGAAACACGGACCAAGGAGUCUAACAUGCAUGCGAGUGUUUGGGUGGAAAACUCGAGCGCGUAAUGAAAGUGAAAGUUGAGAUCCCUCUCACAGGGGGAGCAUCGACGCCCGGACCAGAAC